Molecule: ribosomal RNA, 465 nt
Filed under: uncultured Klebsiella sp.
Lineage: Bacteria; Pseudomonadati; Pseudomonadota; Gammaproteobacteria; Enterobacterales; Enterobacteriaceae
Description: bacterial SSU rRNA
Rfam family: Bacterial small subunit ribosomal RNA
Source: RNAcentral
CCUACGGGUGGCUGCAGUGGGGAAUAUUGCACAAUGGGCGCAAGCCUGAUGCAGCCAUGCCGCGUGUGUGAAGAAGGCCUUCGGGUUGUAAAGCACUUUCAGCGGGGAGGAAGGCGUUAAGGUUAAUAACCUUGGCGAUUGACGUUACCCGCAGAAGAAGCACCGGCUAACUCCGUGCCAGCAGCCGCGGUAAUACGGAGGGUGCAAGCGUGAAUCGGAAUUACUGGGCGUAAAGCGCACGCAGGCGGUCUGUCAAGUCGGAUGUGAAAUCCCCGGGCUCAACCUGGGAACUGCAUUCGAAACUGGCAGGCUAGAGUCUUGUAGAGGGGGGUAGAAUUCCAGGUGUAGCGGUGAAAUGCGUAGAGAUCUGGAGGAAUACCGGUGGCGAAGGCGGCCCCCUGGACAAAGACUGACGCUCAGGUGCGAAAGCGUGGGGAGCAAACAGGAUUAGAUACCCCAGUAGUC